GUGCUUGCCUUGGCAGUAUAUAUACUGAAAUGGAAGUGAUAGAGAUUAUCACGGCCUCUGAGCAAGGAUGACACACAAAUCUGUGACUUGUUCCACAUUUUU
Vulpes vulpes (red fox) is the source of this 102-nucleotide small nuclear RNA. NCBI's taxonomy places the organism in Eukaryota, Metazoa, Chordata, Mammalia, Carnivora, Canidae. The record is from Ensembl.